This 505-nucleotide ribosomal RNA is filed under the name uncultured bacterium. Its description in RNAcentral is "partial 16S ribosomal RNA". It matches the Rfam family "Bacterial small subunit ribosomal RNA", at positions 28 to 507 of the family's 1533-position model. The record is from RNAcentral.
GACGAACGCUGGCGGCGUGCCUAAUACAUGCAAGUAGAACGCACAGUUUAUACCGUAGCUUGCUCCACCAUAGACUGUGAGUUGCGAACGGGUGAGUAACGCGUAGGUAACCUGCCUGGUAGCGGGGGAUAACUAUUGGAAACGAUAGCUAAUACCGCAUAAUAUUAAUUAUUGCAUGAUAAUUAAUUGAAAGGUGCAAUUGCACCACUACCAGAUGGACCUGCGUUGUAUUAGCUAGUAGGUGAGGUAACGGCGCACCUAGGCGACGAUACAGAGACGACCUGAGAGGGUGAUCGGCCACACUGGGACUGAGACACGGCCCUGACUCCUACGGGAGGCAGCAGUAGUGAAUCUUCGGCAAUGGACGAAAGUCUGACCGAGCAACGCCGCGUGAGUGAAGAAGGUUUUCGGAUCGUAAAGCUCUGUUGUAAGAGAAGAACGGGGGUGAGAGUGGAAAGUUCACACUGUGACGGUAUCUUACCAGAAAGGGACGGCUAACUACGUG